Molecule: unclassified non-coding RNA, 343 nt
Filed under: uncultured fungus
Lineage: Eukaryota; Fungi
Description: sequence contains ITS1, 5.8S rRNA gene
Rfam family: 5.8S ribosomal RNA (bases 295-343)
Source: RNAcentral
UUUCUGUAGGUGAACCUGCAGAAGGAUCAUUAGUGAAGAUUUGGGCAGGCCAUACGGACGCCACAAAGUGUCCCUGGCCGCCUACACCCACUAUACAUCCACAAACCCGUGUGCACUGUCCUUGGAAAGGGCAUUUGGAGAGAAAAAGGAAGAGAAGCGAGAACAGUGCGAUCCGUCGCGUUGGGCGUUGAUCUCUGACUUGGUCUCUCUGAGGCCCUUUCCUCGCUACAAACUCGAAUGGUUAGUAUGAACGUGGAACUUGGUUGGACCGUCACUGGCCAACAAACUAUACACAACUUUCGACAACGGAUCUCUUGGUUCUCCCAUCGAUGAAGAACGCAGC